This is a long non-coding RNA of Triticum dicoccoides, 2186 nucleotides long. RefSeq lists it as uncharacterized. The transcript is spliced from 6 exons. Lineage: Eukaryota; Viridiplantae; Streptophyta; Magnoliopsida; Poales; Poaceae. The record is from RefSeq and is a predicted model, not a curated record.
GCCUUCUCUCCGCUCCUCUCCCCCAGAAACGCCGCCGCCGCAGCCGCCGUCUCCUCAUCUCGUUUCUUUCAGCCGCCGCCAGAUCUGGGGAGCCACCGGGAGGAGAACAACCGGCCAGACGCCAUCCCCGUCGACCUAACCCGCAUCUCCCUCGCGCCCAUCGUCCCCUCUUGGCGCCCCCGCCUCUCCUCUCCCCCAUUCUCCUGCCGCAUCCCAUCCCCUGCUCUGCCCUUGCUCCUCCGCCGUUCGAGUUGAGUCGUUGCUGCAGAGAGCGCCGCCUCCACUCUCCCAGGCCUUCUCCCCAUCCGCGACGUCGGCACACGGUGCGGGCAAGCUGUGGCGUGUCGUCGCCGUGCUGGGUUGGCCGGCCGGUGCCGCGCGGAUCCGGUUGGACGAGGUCGUUGGCGACCUGCCGCGGGAGGGGGACAGCGGGAUCUGCGCCAGGAGGUCCAGGGCACGCUGCUGCCGCUCGUGCAGCAGAACGACGGCCUCACCGACGCGUCCGGGGAGAACUGCAUUGGCCUGGUCUUGUAAUGGGCCGCAGCCCGCACCCGAGGUGCAGAGCAGCCAGAACCAGUGAUGAUCGUGAGAUCCUGCGGACGACGAUGGAGCUUCUUAAUCAGUUGGAUGGAUUUUAUGAUCUUAGCAAGACUUUUGGAAGGUUGAAGGUGGAAUCGAACUCCGAGCUCGAGGUUGCGCUGGUGCAGUGGUGGCUGCGAUCGGGCCCGAUCUAGGAAAAAUCUUCCUCGUUUUUGGUCUGCAUGGCGAUGAUCUGUUUCUUCAGGAUCCGCUUGUUGCCAGAGCCGGCUCGGGACGCCUCCUAGACGACGACACAAGCUUGAAGCGAGCGGAACACUGAAGGAGGAUCUCGGGGAUGAAGGAAGCGUCAGCGAUGACCUCAGGCGAGAGGCAUGUAAUGCAGGUAAUACUAGAGCUUCCAGCCUCCUCAGGCUGGCGUGGGAACAUCAGUAAGGGCUUGGAGCCUGUCAAAGAGGAGGCAAAGAGUACACUGCUGAUGAAACAUGAGGCCGAGACAAAAACAAAUGCCUAUUGGCUCAGUUUGCUAACCCAUAUGCAGUCUGCAUUAGUGCCGAGAAAGGUAUUCUAUAUGUGAGGCUUAUAAGUGCAUAUUCUAUGGGAAACUAGAACAGAAAUAAACCAACUCUCCAAGCCCUGGUUUCAUGGACACUCUGUGUGCCACUUCUACUGUGGUGAACUAUACGUAGUUCCUCUGACUAGAUUUUCUUGAUGCAAGUUUUCUAGACGAACUUUUGGAAGCCUGCUGACCCGCGACCAUCUCGAUGAUAGUUAUGAUCACGUAAUUCUGGGUUGAGAAGUUUGUUGAUAUAUCAAAAAGUUCCAGGGGUUGCCAUAAGGAAAACAAAUAAAAUCUAUGUUCUAUGCUCUUGGUUAUACUCCAUCUGGCUGCAAGUAUAAUUCUUUGGCUUGGCUGACAGUUGAGCAUGCACGUAGGGCAGUCAGUGUGUUUACUGAAUUAAGUAUAACUAAACCUUCUGCUUUUCUGCCCCCCGCACCACCACCACCAAAGAAAACACAAUGAAUGCAUAUGAAGAUAAUACUGACAUGGCCAGGAAUCUUCCUCUGUAAUUCGGGCUCUAGGGCUUUUCUUGACCAUGCUGUAUACACGAAAUUUUUAACAACAGUUUGCUUUACAUGUAUUUGCUAAUGUAUGAUUAAAUCUGUAUAAGUUGUAUUUUUUAGUGAUAUUAUUAUUUGUUGGAUCCCAAUUCAUAUCUUGUCCUUCUUUAGUCUUUUUACUACUAUUUUCCAUACUUGUAUCAUUUACUCUACCGUUGUUUCUUCACUGGCCACACCCGUAUUGGUGCCGUCGCUCACGCUCCACCUGAACAGCGGCAACUAGGAGCUGCCGCGUGGGAACUACGUGUUCGAGGAGCAGGUCAUGUGCCUGGUGCUAGACGUGAUGGCAUGGGAUCAGACCGUCAUUACCACCAGCAAAAGAACGCGCAAGUCCAUCUAAGGCCUCGACAUGACGUGUUGCCCUUUGCGCCAGCGUAGUGCAACAAGCUUGCAGCGUUGCUAUAUUAUUUUAUAAAGAGAUAGAACUUGUAGUACUGAUCAUGUGAAAUGCGCCGAUGUGGUAGGCAACGAUCUUUUCUGAAUGAAAUGUAUUUUAGAUUGUAAAGCUGACCAAAAAGGGCUGUUGA